Long non-coding RNA from Brassica rapa (field mustard), 1177 nucleotides. RefSeq lists it as uncharacterized. NCBI's taxonomy places the organism in Eukaryota, Viridiplantae, Streptophyta, Magnoliopsida, Brassicales, Brassicaceae. The record is from RefSeq and is a predicted model, not a curated record.
UUAAAACGAUGCCCAUGUACCAUAAAAGAGAGUUUAAUAUACAUUAAUACAAAUGUAAAAUGUAUUUAAAAUUUUUAAAAUAACACUAAAGAUCAUAGGCUUCAGUAUAUAAAAUAUUUACCGAAAAACUUAAUAUUUUCGUAGGGGUUAAAUCAUAGAUUUUGAGAAAAAUUCAAAAAUAUGAAAAUACUGUUUUAAUGUAUAGUUGCAUCAUUCACAAACCUAUGAUGAAGGUAAAGAGGUUUGUAACCAUUGUUGUCUCCGUUUUUCUAGAGAAUUACGAUUUUAUAGUGGUUAGUCCACCAAUUUAUGGAGUAUUAUGAAGUUUUAAUAAAUUAAUUGACAAAAAAUUAAAAUGAUGCUCAUAUACCAUAAAGAGAGUUUAGUAUACAUUAAUAAAAAUGUAGAAUGUGCUUAGAAAUUUUAAAACAAUACUAAAGAUCAUAAGUAUUAGUAUAUAGAGCAUUUACCGAAAAAAUUAAUAUUUUCGUAGGGUUUAACACAUAGAUUUUGAGAAAAAUCCAAAAAUAUGAAAAUACUGUUUUAAUGCAUAGUUGCAAUAUUGCAUCUUUCAAUAACCUAUGAUAAAAGUCAAAGAGGUUUACAACCAUUGUUUUCUCUGUUUUUUUUAAAUAGCGAUUUUAUAGUGGUUAGUCCACCAAUUUAAGGAGUAUUAUUAAGUUUUACAAAAUUAAUUGACAAACAAUUAAAACGAUGCCUAUGUACCAUGAAAGAGAGUUUAAUACAAAUUAAUAAAAAUGUAGAAUGUGUUUAGAAAUUUUAAAACAACACUAAAGAUCAUAGGCUUCAUAUAUAGAGCAUUUACCGAAAAAAUCAAUAUUUUCGUAGGGGGUUAAAUCAUAGAUUUUGAGAAAAAUUCAAAAAUAUGAAAAUACUGUUUUAAUGCAUAGUUGCAUCAUUCAAAAACCUAUGAUAAAGGUAAAGAGGUUUGGAUCCAUUGUUGUCUCCAUUUUUCUAGAGAAUAGCGAUUUUAUAGUAGUUAGUCCACCAAUUAAUGGAGUAUUAUGAAGUUUUACUAAAUUAAUUGAUAAAAAAAUUAAACGAUGCUCAUAUACCAUAAAGAGAGUUUAAUAUAUAUUAAUACAAAUGUAGAAUGUGUUUAGAAAUUUGAAAACAAUACUAAAGAUCAUAAGUAUUAGUAUAUAGAGCAUUUACC